This 253-nucleotide ribosomal RNA is filed under the name uncultured bacterium. Its description in RNAcentral is "partial 16S ribosomal RNA". It matches the Rfam family "Bacterial small subunit ribosomal RNA", at positions 524 to 776 of the family's 1533-position model. The record is from RNAcentral.
UACGGGGGGGGCAAGCGUUGUUCGGAAUUACUGGGCGUAAAGGGCUCGUAGGCGGCCAACUAAGUCGGGUGUGAAAGCCCUCGGCUCAACCGAGGAAGUGCAUUCGAAACCGCAUGGCUAGAGUAUCGGAGAGGAUAGCGGAAUUCACGGUGUAGCAGUGAAAUGCGUAGAUAUCGUGAGGAACACCAGAGGCGAAGGCGGCUACCUGGACAAUUGCUGACGCUCAGGCACGAAAGCGUGGGGAGCAAAAGGG